GACGAACGCUGGCGGCGUGCCUAACACAUGCAAGUCGAGCGGGGUUGAAGCGAGGGGUAACUCGGACUUCUACCUAGCGGCGGACGGGUGAGUAACGCGUGGGCAACCUGCCUCAAGGUUUGGGAUAACAGCUCGAAAGGGCUGCUAAUACCGGAUAUGCCUGUGGCCUCGCAUGGGGCUAUGAGCAAAGGGGAAACCCGCCUUGAGAUGGGCCCGCGUCCCAUCAGCUAGUUGGUGAGGUGAAGGCUCACCAAGGCGACGACGGGUAGCCGGCCUGAGAGGGUGACCGGCCACACUGGGACUGAGACACGGCCCAGACUCCUACGGGGGGCAGCAGUGGGGGAUCUUGCACAAUGGGCGAAAGCCUGAUGCAGCGACGCCGCGUGAGCGAAGAAGGCCUUCGGGUUGUAAAGCUCUGUCUGGAGGGACGAAACAAAUGACGGUACCUCCGGAGGAAGCCACGGCUAACUAACGUG
RNAcentral lists this ribosomal RNA (476 nucleotides) under uncultured bacterium. RNAcentral describes it as "bacterial SSU rRNA". It matches the Rfam family "Bacterial small subunit ribosomal RNA", at positions 28 to 507 of the family's 1533-position model. The record is from RNAcentral.